This 741-nucleotide ribosomal RNA is filed under the name uncultured bacterium. Its description in RNAcentral is "bacterial SSU rRNA". It matches the Rfam family "Bacterial small subunit ribosomal RNA", at positions 36 to 796 of the family's 1533-position model. The record is from RNAcentral.
CUGGCGGCGUGCCUAACACAUGUAAGUCGAACGGGCAUUUUGGGAAACUGGAGUGCUAGUGGCAGACGGGUGCGUAACACGUGGGUGACCUACCUCAGAGUGUGGAAUAACGGAUCGAAAGGUUCGCUAAUACCGCAUAUGCUCGAUGAUUUUGUUCAUCGAGAAAAGCCGUAAGGCGCUUUGAGAGGGACCCGCGGCCCAUCAGGUAGUUGGUGAGGUAAUGGCCCACCAAGCCGAUGACGGGUAGCUGGUCUGAGAGGACGACCAGCCACAAUGGAACUGAGAUACGGUCCAUACUCCUACGGGAGGCAGCAGUGAGGAAUAUUGCGCAAUGGGCGAAAGCCUGACGCAGCGACGCCGCGUGGGUGACGAAGGCCCUCGGGUCGUAAAACCCUUUUGGCAGGGACGAGUGAGGACGGUACCUGUCGAAUAAGUCUCGGCGAACUACGUGCCAGCAGCCGCGGUAAAACGUAGGAGGCGAGCGUUAUCCGGAUUCACUGGGCGUAAAGCGCACGUAGGCGGUCGGGUAAGUCGGAUGUUAAAGCCCCUGGCUCAACUAGGGGAGGUCAUUCGAUACUGCUCGGCUUGAGGAUGAGAGAGGAAAGUGGAAUUCCCGGUGUAGCGGUGGAAUGCGUAGAGAUCGGGAGGAACACCAGUGGCGAAAGCGGCUUUCUGGCUCAUUCCUGACGCUGAGUGUGCGAAAGCGUGGGUAGCAAACGGGAUUAGAUACCCUGGUAGUCC